RNAcentral lists this long non-coding RNA (680 nucleotides) under Cavia porcellus (domestic guinea pig). RNAcentral's name for it is "lncRNA (ENSCPOG00000037519.1)". The record is from RNAcentral. Lineage: Eukaryota; Metazoa; Chordata; Mammalia; Rodentia; Caviidae.
CUCUGAACAGUCUGGUGUUAUUCCUCACCCAGGUCAAAAUACUCCUGAAUGUGGAUCAGCAAAAGGAGGAGAUGAAGGCCAACCAGGAGCAGCUGAGGAGUGCUGUGGCCAACACAGGAGUUGGGAAAUGAAAUCAAAGAUCUAGAGAAGAUGGCCACACUCAGCCAAGAGAAGUAGGAUCUCAACAUCUAACUGCAAGCUGAGCAAGAGAACCUGAUGGAUGCUGAGGAGUGCCUGACCCAAAUUAUGAAGCCCAAGAUGGAGCUGGAGAGGCAGAUCUCAGACAUGUAGGAGUGGCUGGAGGAGGAGGAAGAAGAGGAAGGCACAGUGGCUUCCCUGAGUGCCAGCAAGUGUAAACUACAGGGAAUCUGAGCAACCAGAAGCAGGAUCUGGAGGGCCUGGAAACCACACUGGCCAAGACAGAGAAAGAGAAGCAGGCCCUGAAUCACAGGGUCCACACCCUGAAAGGGGACCUCUUCCCCCACGAAGACAACAUUCCCAAGCUCCAGAAGGAGAAGAGGGCCCUGGAGGAGCUGCACCAGGUAGGCUCUCCUGGCAUUUUCCUGUGGCAGAGCAGAUGGAGUUGGUAUAAUAUAUUUUACUCCUGGAGAUGAGAUGGCAUCCAGAUCUAGACCAUGCUCCUUCAGGUAGAUGCCUCAGGAAAGACAAAAAUAUCCCCA